CCUAAUACAUGCAAGUCGAGCGGACCGACGGGAGCUUGCUCCCUUAGGUCAGCGGCGGACGGGUGAGUAACACGUGGGUAACCUGCCUGUAAGACUGGGAUAACUCCGGGAAACCGGGGCUAAUACCGGAUGCUUGAUUGAACCGCAUGGUUCAGUCAUAAAAGGUGGCUUUUAGCUACCACUUACAGAUGGACCCGCGGCGCAUUAGCUAGUUGGUGAGGUAACGGCUCACCAAGGCGACGAUGCGUAGCCGACCUGAGAGGGUGAUCGGCCACACUGGGACUGAGACACGGCCCAGACUCCUACGGGAGGCAGCAGUAGGGAAUCUUCCGCAAUGGACGAAAGUCUGACGGAGCAACGCCGCGUGAGUGAUGAAGGUUUUCGGAUCGUAAAACUCUGUUGUCAGGGAAGAACAAGUACGGUAGUAACUGCCCGUACCUUGACGGUACCUGGCCAGAAAGCCACGGCUAACUACGUGCCAGCAGCCGCGGUAAUACGUAGGUGGCAAGCGUUGUCCGGAAUUAUUGGGCGUAAAGCGCGCGCAGGCGGCCUUUUAAGUCUGAUGUGAAAGCCCCCGGCUCAACCGGGGAGGGUCAUUGGAAACUGGAAGGCUUGAGUGCAGAAGAGAAGAGCGGAAUUCCACGUGUAGCGGUGAAAUGCGUAGAGAUGUGGAGGAACACCAGUGGCGAAGGCGGCUCUUUGGUCUGU
RNAcentral lists this ribosomal RNA (708 nucleotides) under uncultured Bacilli bacterium. RNAcentral describes it as "bacterial SSU rRNA". It matches the Rfam family "Bacterial small subunit ribosomal RNA", at positions 47 to 737 of the family's 1533-position model. Lineage: Bacteria; Bacillati; Bacillota; Bacilli. The record is from RNAcentral.